CUCUCCUUCCCUCUCUCUCUAGAUAUGACUUUCAACUUCCAACUACUCUGAUGCCCUUCUUAUUUCAUGUGCAUCAUCUGUAUCGCCUUAUGAGAUAAUCUGCUUCUCUCUGUAUCGUCUUCUUCAAUUACUCACUUUCACUCAUGGCUCCUAGCAAGCUCAAUUCCACUGUAUUCAAUCAUUCUCUUUCUAUAUAUGUUUGCAUGCGAGCUUUUCUGCUUUUUCUUUUUAUUCUUCUCAUUUAUGUCUCAGGUCUCGAUUUUUAUGGUUUCUUGGCUUUUAAUGUUACUGAUCAUGAGUUUUGGAUCUGUUUUGUAAUUUUAUGAUUGUUUUCACUACCUCAGAAUUGUUGCUACUAGUGUCAGUUGGGCAUUUUCUGCGUUUUGAAUGAUUUAUGCACUUGGGUUAUUCAAUUCAGUUUCAUUUAUGCAAUUUAGAGAUAGUGCCACCUGGGAAGUCCAAUGCGAUGGUUUUUGUGUGACUUGGAAUCUCUGUUUGUUGAAGUAUUUGCUGGGAAACUUUCAAAAGUUGUGAUGGAUCAAAAUUGUUAGAAUGGUGAAGUGGGAAAGUUAUAUCCUUUAUAGAAUUUUAGGGCCAGAUUUUGGUUGAUAAGCGGAUUUUGUUUAUGAAACAUGUUACUUCUUUCCUUGGUGAUCAUGAUGGAGAGAAAUUGUUGUUUUUAUCUUGUUGAUUCAAUGCUUUUAUAUUUAUUCCUCAAAUGCUAUGGGUCUUCCUUGAGUUCCACAAGUCCACCAUCUCAAUUGCAAAAAUGAUUGAAAGCCUAGUAGGUGACCUUUUUGAGCUUCAGGUUCUGAAUUUGGUAUGAUUUUGAAGGUUUAUUUUUUUACUGUUAUAAGUUUAUUCAGAAAUUCCCGUGUAUUUAAUACUAUGAAUCAUGAAUAUUUAAGUGAUUGAAUGUAAUGGGUAAAUGAUGAACUAGGACAUUGUUUGUUUAGCAUAGUUUUUCUUUUUAGUGCUUCUCAAUCUUGCAUGAAUAGUAUGCAUUUUUAUUUUCUUUUCCCUACCCCCACCGUCUUUCCCUCUUCCCAGUAACUUUAUUUAGCCUUCUUCUUCCUCCAUUUCCUGAUGGCCAGUCAUGUAUUCGUUCUCCUUGGUUAAAUGACUAGUAUAUUAUGAUAAUUUAUACUUUCU
RNAcentral lists this unclassified non-coding RNA (1152 nucleotides) under Hevea brasiliensis (rubber tree). The record is from RNAcentral. Lineage: Eukaryota; Viridiplantae; Streptophyta; Magnoliopsida; Malpighiales; Euphorbiaceae.